GCAAGUCGAACGAAGUAGCAAUACUUAGUGGCAGACGGGUGAGUAACAUGUAGGUAUCUACCCUUUGGCCUGGAAUAACACGAGGAAACUUGUGCUAAUACCGGAUAAGUCUUUACGGAGAAAGCUUUAUGCACCAUUGGAUGAGCCUGCACUUGAUUAGUUUGUUGGUGGGGUAAUGGCCUACCAAGACUGUGAUCAAUAGCUGAUUUGAGAGGAUGAUCAGCCACAUUGGGACUGAGACACGGCCCAAACUCCUACGGGAGGCAGCAGUGGGGAAUCUUGCACAAUGGAGGAAACUCUGAUGCAGCGAUGCCGCGUGAGUGAAGAAGGCCCUUGGGUUGUAAAGCUCUUUCGUCGGGGAAGAAAAUGACUGUACCCGAAUAAGAAGGUCCGGCUAACUUCGUGCCAGCAGCCGCGGUAAUACGAAGGGACCUAGCGUAGUGCGGAAUUACUGGGCUUAAAGAGUUCGUAGGUGGUUGAAAAAGUUAGUGGUGAAAUCCCAGAGCUUAACUCUGGAACUGCCAUUAAAACUUUUCAGCUAGAGUAUGAUAGAGGAAGGCAGAAUUUCUAGUGUAGAGGUGAAAUUCGUAGAUAUUAGAAAGAAUACCAAUUGCGAAGGCAGCUUUCUGGAUCAUUACUGACGCUGAGGAACGAAAGCAUGGGUAGCGAAGAGGAUUAGAUACCCUCGUAGUCCAUGCCGUANACGAUGUGUGUUAGACGUUGGAAAUUUAUUUUCAGUGUCGCAGCGAAAGCGAUAAACACACCGCCUGGGGAGUACGACCGCAAGGUUAAAACUCAAAUGAAUUGACGGGGACCCGCACAAGUAGUGGAGCAUGUGGUUUAAUUCGAAGAUACGCGCAGAACCUUUACCACACUUGACAUGUUCGUCGCGACUC
RNAcentral lists this ribosomal RNA (896 nucleotides) under uncultured marine bacterium. RNAcentral's name for it is "bacterial SSU rRNA". It matches the Rfam family "Bacterial small subunit ribosomal RNA", at positions 57 to 1001 of the family's 1533-position model. The record is from RNAcentral.